RNAcentral lists this ribosomal RNA (1479 nucleotides) under uncultured Bordetella sp. Its description in RNAcentral is "partial 16S-23S ribosomal RNA intergenic spacer". It matches the Rfam family "Bacterial small subunit ribosomal RNA". The record is from RNAcentral. Lineage: Bacteria; Pseudomonadati; Pseudomonadota; Betaproteobacteria; Burkholderiales; Alcaligenaceae.
GAGUUUGAUCAUGGCUCAGAUUGGUGCUGGCGGGAUGCUUUACAUGCAAGUCGAACAGCAGCACGGACUUCCAGUCUGGUGGCGAGUGGCGAACAGGUGAGUAAUAAUGUAUCCCGGAACGUGCCUAAGUAGCGGGGGAUAACUACGCGAAAGCGUAGCUGUACAUACGCCCUUCGGGGAAAGCGGGGGACAACUUCGGGCCUCGCACUAUUGAAACGGCCGAUAUCGGAUUAGCUAGUUGGUGGGGUAACGGCUCACCGGGCGACGAUCCGUAGCUGGUUUGAGAGGACGACCAGCCACACUGGGACUGAGACACGGCCCAGACUCCUACGGGAGGCAGCAGUGGGGAAUUUUGGACAAUGGGGGAAACCCUGAUCCAGCCAUCCGCGUGUGCGAUGAGGCCUUCGGGUUGGCAAAAAGCACUUUUGGCAGAAGGAAAGAAACGGCACGGGAUAAUGCCCCGUGCAACUGACGACACCUGCAGAAUAAGCACCGGCUAACUACGUGCCAGCAGCCGCGGUAAUACGUAGGGUGCAAGCGUUAAUCGGAAUUACUGGGCGUAAAGCGUGCGCAGGCGGUUCGGAAAAGAAAGAUGUGAAAUCCCAGAGCUUAACUUUGGAACAUGCAUUUAACUACCGAGCUAGAGUGUGUCAGAGGGAGGUGGAAUUCCGCGUGUAGCAGUGAAAUGCGUAGAUAUGCGGGAGGAACACCAUUGGCGAGCAGCCUCUGGGAUAACACUUUGACGCUCAUGCACGAAAGCGUGGGGAGCAAACAGAGUUAGAUACCCUGGUAGUCCACGCCUAAACGAUGUCAACUAGCUGUUGAGGGCCUUCGGGCCUUGUUGUACAACUAGCAACGUGAUUGACCGCCUGGGAAGUACGGUCGCAAGAUUAUCAAAGGAAUUGACGGGGACCCGCACAAGCGGUGGAUGUGGAUUAAUUCGAUGCAACGCGAGAAAACCUUACCUACCCUUGACAUGUCUGGAAUCCCGAAGAGAUUUGGGAGUGCUCAUAAGAGAACCGGAACACAGGUGCUGCAUGGCUGUCCGUCAGCUCGUGUCGUGAGAUGUUGGGUUAAGUCCACAACGAGCGCAACCCUUGUCAUUGGUGCUACGAAAGGGCACUCUAAUGAGACUGCCGGUGACAAGCCGGAGGAAGAUUAAGGGAUGGCGUCAAGUCCUCAUGGCCAUAUGGGGUAGGGGCUUCACACGUCAUACAAUGGUCGGGACGGGUCGCCAACCCGCGAGGAGCCAAUCCCAGAGAAACCCGAUCGUAGUCCGGAUCGCAGUCUGCAACUCGACUGCGUGAAGUCGGAGAUCGCUAGUAAUCGCGGAUCCAGCAUGUCGCGGUGAAUACGUUCCCGGGUGUACACACCGCCCGUCACACCAUGGAAUUGGGUUUUGCAAGUAGUUAGCCUAACCGUGGGAGGGCGAUUACCACGGUAAGGAUUCAUGACUGGGGUGAAGUCGUAACAAGGUAG